AUGCAUGGUUUGGCCGUAGGCCAUUGUUGGUCUCCCUCGAAUUGUGAGGAGAGGACAGAUGAAAACAUGCUAGACUAACACUUGAGGAGUUAACAGGGCCACCAGUCUCUCAAGGUCAGAUUGAGUUGGUAGUAUAAUACUCCGACAUUA
Small nucleolar RNA from Cheilinus undulatus (humphead wrasse), 150 nucleotides. RefSeq annotates it as small nucleolar RNA U109. The record is from RefSeq and is a predicted model, not a curated record. NCBI's taxonomy places the organism in Eukaryota, Metazoa, Chordata, Actinopteri, Labriformes, Labridae. The transcript has a single exon.